AAACUAUACGAUACACCCGCCUGCAGAACAACCCCCACACCCGGAAAUAAUACAGUACUCCGAUACCCAAUACCCAAUAAAUACCCAUGGAUCAGCUUUUGACCGUUCCAUAAUAACAACCCUCACUCUCAACUCUACCUUUUUGCCUAACUUCGUUUCCAGCCAACCAGCCGCAGCCCGAUCCCAAGAAUCCCUCGCCGCCUUUAGCCCUUAGCUUGCUUAUCCUCAAUUGCUAACCUUGCCUUGCCAUCUGCUCCCACCACCCAUAUCCUAACCGCCGCGUUAUAACUGGCCUGCCCAGGAAGGCGGUGGAGGGCCUCUGCCGCCGUUCCACAGAGGAUCCUCGCCCAAGGAAAAAUGAAAAUAGGGAGCCCAACUGCAGCCGGGGGGCGCGUAGACGGUAGCAUUCUUUGACUUUACCCAGCCGAGAUGGAACUAGAACGGGCUGGCAGCUGGAGCUUGGUGUCUCCUUCGUGGACUGGCGAGCGGGGUCAGUGAACCCCGAUGGCAACCAAUCGGGGAUCGGGCAC
RNAcentral lists this small RNA (530 nucleotides) under Histoplasma ohiense. RNAcentral's name for it is "hypothetical lncRNA". The record is from RNAcentral. Lineage: Eukaryota; Fungi; Ascomycota; Eurotiomycetes; Onygenales; Ajellomycetaceae.